RNAcentral lists this ribosomal RNA (661 nucleotides) under Klebsiella pneumoniae. RNAcentral's name for it is "partial 23S ribosomal RNA". It matches the Rfam family "Bacterial large subunit ribosomal RNA", at positions 419 to 1082 of the family's 2925-position model. Lineage: Bacteria; Pseudomonadati; Pseudomonadota; Gammaproteobacteria; Enterobacterales; Enterobacteriaceae. The record is from RNAcentral.
GGGACACGUGGUAUCCUGUCUGAAUAUGGGGGGACCAUCCUCCAAGGCUAAAUACUCCUGACUGACCGAUAGUGAACCAGUACCGUGAGGGAAAGGCGAAAAGAACCCCGGCGAGGGGAGUGAAAAAGAACCUGAAACCGUGUACGUACAAGCAGUGGGAGCACCUUCGGGUGUGACUGCGUACCUUUUGUAUAAUGGGUCAGCGACUUAUAUUCUGUAGCAAGGUUAACCGUAUAGGGGAGCCGCAGGGAAACCGAGUCUUAACUGGGCGUUAAGUUGCAGGGUAUAGACCCGAAACCCGGUGAUCUAGCCAUGGGCAGGUUGAAGGUUGGGUAACACUAACUGGAGGACCGAACCGACUAAUGUUGAAAAAUUAGCGGAUGACUUGUGGCUGGGGGUGAAAGGCCAAUCAAACCGGGAGAUAGCUGGUUCUCCCCGAAAGCUAUUUAGGUAGCGCCUCGUGAAUUCAUCUUCGGGGGUAGAGCACUGUUUCGGCUAGGGGGUCAUCCCGACUUACCAACCCGAUGCAAACUACGAAUACCGAAGAAUGUUAUCACGGGAGACACACGGCGGGUGCUAACGUCCGUCGUGAAGAGGGAAACAACCCAGACCGCCAGCUAAGGUCCCAAAGUCAUGGUUAAGUGGGAAACGAUGUGGGAAG